UACGGGGGGGGCAAGCGUUGUUCGGAAUUACUGGGCGUAAAGGGCUCGUAGGCGGCCAACUAAGUCAGACGUGAAAUCCCCAGGCUCAACCUGGGAACUGCGUCUGAUACUGGAUGGCUUGAAUUCGGGAGAGGGAUGCAGAAUUCCAGGUGUAGCGGUGAAAUGCGUAGAUACCUGGAGGAAUACCGGUGGCGAAGGCGGCAUCCUGGACCGACAUUGACGCUGAGGAGCGAAAGCAUGGGGAGCGAACAGG
Molecule: ribosomal RNA, 253 nt
Filed under: uncultured bacterium
Lineage: Bacteria
Description: partial 16S ribosomal RNA
Rfam family: Bacterial small subunit ribosomal RNA
Source: RNAcentral